GGCCUGUAUCCACAAAGCUUCUCAGAGCAGCAGUGCUGAUCUAGGAUCAGUUUAGCCACCAGGACUGGGGGACUGGGCCUGUAUCCUCAAAGCUUCUCAGAGCAGCAGUGCUGAUCUAGGAUCAGUUUAGCCACCAGGACUGGGGGACUGGGCCUGUAUCCUCAAAGCUUCUCAGAGCAGCAGUGCUGAUCUGGGAUCAUUUAGCCACCAGGACUGGGGGACUGGGCCUGUAUCCUCAAAGCUUCUCAGAGCAGCAGUGCUGAUCUGGGAUCAGUUUAGCCACCAGGACUGGGGGACUGGGCCUGUAUCCUCAAAGCUUCUCAAAGCUUCUCAGAGCAGCAGUGCUGAUCUGGGAUCAGUUUAGCCACCAGGACUGGGGGACUGGGCCUGUAUCCACAAAGCUUCUCAGAGCAGCAGUGCUGAUCUAGGAUCAGUUUAGCCACCAGGACUGGGGGACUGGGCCUGUAUCCUCAAAGCUUCUCAGAGCAGCAGUGCUGAUCUAGGAUCAGUUUAGCCACCAGGACUGGGGGACUGGGCCUGUUUCCUCAAAGCUUCUCAGAGCAGCAGUGCUGAUCUAGGAUCAGUUUAGCCACCAGGACUGGGGGCCUGGGUAUCCACAAAGCUUCUCAGAGCAGCAGUGCUGAUCUAGGAUCAGUUUAACCACCAGGACUGGGGGACUGGGCCUGUAUCCUCAAAGCUUCUCAGAGCAGCAGU
Oncorhynchus tshawytscha (Chinook salmon) is the source of this 714-nucleotide long non-coding RNA. The record is from Ensembl. Lineage: Eukaryota; Metazoa; Chordata; Actinopteri; Salmoniformes; Salmonidae.